GAUGAACGCUGGCGGCAUGCCUAACACAUGCAAGUCGAACGAACACACGAGGACUUUGCUCCUCUGACGUUAGCCGCGGACGGGAGAGUAACAUGUGGACAACCUACCUAUAAGACUGGGAUAACUUCGGGGAACCAUAGCUACUACCGAAGAAUUUAUUGAACCAGAGGGGGCCCUAGUGGAAUACGGUUUUUCUGUUGGUUAAAGAUUGAUCCGCGCCGCAUUAGCUAGUUGGCAAGGUAAAGGCUUACCAAGGCGACGAUGAGUAGCCGACCUGAGAGGGAGAACGGCCACCCGGGCACUGAGACACGGCCCAGACUCCUACGGGAGGCAGCAGUAGGGAAUCUUCCGCAAUGGGCGAAAGCCUGACGGAGCAACGCCGCGUGAGUGAUGAAGGUCUUCGGAUCGUAAAGCUCUGUUGUCCGGAAAGAACUAAUGUGUCAGUAACUGGGCGGGUCAUGACGGUACCGGAAGAAAAAGCCCCGGCUAACUACGUG
This 497-nucleotide ribosomal RNA is filed under the name uncultured bacterium. RNAcentral's name for it is "partial 16S ribosomal RNA". It matches the Rfam family "Bacterial small subunit ribosomal RNA", at positions 28 to 507 of the family's 1533-position model. The record is from RNAcentral.